AGGAUUAACGCUGGCGGCGUGCCUAACACAUGCAAGUCGAACGAGGUAGCAAUACCUAGUGGCAGACGGGUGAGUAGCGCGUGGUCAACCUACCGUUGAGUAGGGGAUAACUAGCCGAAAGGUUAGCUAAUACCGCAUACGUCUCCGAGGGGCAUCCCUUGGUGAUAAAAGGAGCAAUCCGCUCGAUGACGGGACCGCGUCCCAUUAGCUAGUUGGUAGGGUAACGGCCUACCAAGGCAUCGAUGGGUAGCUGGUUUGAGAGAGCGACCAGCCACACUGGGACUGAGAUACGGCCCAGACUCCUACGGGAGGCAGCAGUGAGGAAUUUUCCGCAAUGGGCGAAAGCCUGACGGAGCGACGCCGCGUGUGGGAAGAAGGCCUUCGGGUCGUAAACCACUGUCGAAGGGGAAGAUAAUGACGGUACCCUUGGAGGAAGCCCCGGCUAACUACGUGCCAGCAGCCGC
Molecule: ribosomal RNA, 464 nt
Filed under: uncultured bacterium
Lineage: Bacteria
Description: SSU rRNA
Rfam family: Bacterial small subunit ribosomal RNA
Source: RNAcentral